Molecule: ribosomal RNA, 843 nt
Filed under: Klebsiella aerogenes
Lineage: Bacteria; Pseudomonadati; Pseudomonadota; Gammaproteobacteria; Enterobacterales; Enterobacteriaceae
Also listed under: 1 other name
Description: partial 23S ribosomal RNA
Rfam family: Bacterial large subunit ribosomal RNA
Source: RNAcentral
GGUUAAGCGACUAAGCGUACACGGUGGAUGCCCUGGCAGUCAGAGGCGAUGAAGGACGUGCUAAUCUGCGAAAAGCGUCGGUAAGGUGAUAUGAACCGUUACAGCCGGCGAUGUCCGAAUGGGGAAACCCAGUGUGAUUCGUCACACUAUCGUUAACUGAAUACAUAGGUUAACGAGGCGAACCGGGGGAACUGAAACAUCUAAGUACCCCGAGGAAAAGAAAUCAACCGAGAUUCCCCCAGUAGCGGCGAGCGAACGGGGAGCAGCCCAGAGUCUGAAUCAGCUUGUGUGUUAGUGGAACGGUCUGGAAAGUCCGACGGUACAGGGUGAUAGUCCCGUACACCAAAAUGCACAGGCUGUGAACUCGAAGAGUAGGGCGGGACACGUGGUAUCCUGUCUGAAUAUGGGGGGACCAUCCUCCAAGGCUAAAUACUCCUGACUGACCGAUAGUGAACCAGUACCGUGAGGGAAAGGCGAAAAGAACCCCGGCGAGGGGAGUGAAAAAGAACCUGAAACCGUGUACGUACAAGCAGUGGGAGCACCUUCGGGUGUGACUGCGUACCUUUUGUAUAAUGGGUCAGCGACUUAUAUUCUGUAGCAAGGUUAACCGUAUAGGGGAGCCGCAGGGAAACCGAGUCUUAACUGGGCGUUAAGUUGCAGGGUAUAGACCCGAAACCCGGUGAUCUAGCCAUGGGCAGGUUGAAGGUUGGGUAACACUAACUGGAGGACCGAACCGACUAAUGUUGAAAAAUUAGCGGAUGACUUGUGGCUGGGGGUGAAAGGCCAAUCAAACCGGGAGAUAGCUGGUUCUCCCCGAAAGCUAUUUAGGUAGCGCCUCGUGAA